GAACGGCACCACCUUGACUGGAGCCUGCCGCUUAAUUUGACUCCUGCGGGAAAACUUACCCGGCCCGGAGAGACUCAGGAUUGACGAUUGAGAGCUCUUUCUUGAUUCAGUGGGUGGUGGUGCAUGGCCUGUCUGGUGUGGCGGAGCCAUUUGUCUGGGUAAUUCUGAUAACGAACCUUACUCUAGCCUACUAAAUAGACUGUUCAGCUUUAUAGCUGCAUCACCGGGGGCCUUGCUCGCAAGGGCGGCGCGCUCGGCUGUGGUGACUCUGACAGUGCUUCUUACAGGGACAGGCGGCAGUUGAACCGCACUAAUUUUAGCAAUAACAGGUCUGUGAUGCCCUUAGAUGUCCGGGGCCGCACGCGCUCUACACUGAAGUGAUCAGCGUGCAAUUUAUGUUUGGUGAUCUGUCAAGAUUGCCCAACCCGUAGAACCUUCUUCAAGAGUGGGAUAAAGGAUUGUAUUACUUUCCUUGAACGAAGAAUUCCCAGUAAGUGCAAGUCUUAAGCUUGCUUUAUU
This 519-nucleotide ribosomal RNA is filed under the name uncultured eukaryote. Its description in RNAcentral is "bacterial SSU rRNA". It matches the Rfam family "Eukaryotic small subunit ribosomal RNA", at positions 1159 to 1645 of the family's 1831-position model. The record is from RNAcentral.